RNAcentral lists this long non-coding RNA (214 nucleotides) under Vigna radiata. Its description in RNAcentral is "long non-coding RNA (VRAD_LNC011172)". The record is from RNAcentral. Lineage: Eukaryota; Viridiplantae; Streptophyta; Magnoliopsida; Fabales; Fabaceae.
UUCUUAUUUAAUUCGCUUAUUUAUCAUAUUGCCAUGCAAACUUUCUUGGUCUACCCUUAACCCAAUCCCUUGGCGAAAAGAGCCUAUUACUAAUUAUCAGCUUGCUAUCUCUAGCCUCCCCUAGUAACUAAUAAUGCAUAAUAAACAGAAGCAAAAUACAAUUGAUCGUCAUACCCCUAUCUCUAGGCUAUAUUACCAUAAUCAAGGAAUUCCC